Molecule: unclassified non-coding RNA, 304 nt
Filed under: air metagenome
Description: partial contains small subunit ribosomal RNA, internal transcribed spacer 1, and 5.8S ribosomal RNA
Rfam family: Eukaryotic small subunit ribosomal RNA (bases 1-46)
Source: RNAcentral
AAGUCGUAACAAGGUUUCCGUAGGUGAACCUGCGGAAGGAUCAUUAUCGAGUUUGUGGCGUCCUCUUGGUUUGAGCUGGCUUGAAAGGGCAAGUGCUCGCCGGAUGUGGCGUUCUUUCUCUAAACCCCCCCCCUCUUUUUUGUGCACAUCCGCGUGGGUCUAAAGGUGGCUUUUAUCCUUUUGGAGAGAAGGCGCUCGAAGGCUCGCGUCUUUUUUAUACACUCUUUUGAAAGGACAACAGAAUGAAAAGUCUUGCGUUUACGCAAAACAUAUACAACUUUCAGCAACGGAUCUCUUGGCUCUC